Molecule: ribosomal RNA, 157 nt
Filed under: Alternaria alternata
Lineage: Eukaryota; Fungi; Ascomycota; Dothideomycetes; Pleosporales; Pleosporaceae
Description: 5.8S ribosomal RNA
Rfam family: 5.8S ribosomal RNA
About the family: 5.8S ribosomal RNA (5.8S rRNA) is a component of the large subunit of the eukaryotic ribosome. It is transcribed by RNA polymerase I as part of the 45S precursor that also contains 18S and 28S rRNA. Functionally, it is thought that 5.8S rRNA may be involved in ribosome translocation.
Source: RNAcentral
CAACUUUCAACAACGGAUCUCUUGGUUCUGGCAUCGAUGAAGAACGCAGCGAAAUGCGAUAAGUAGUGUGAAUUGCAGAAUUCAGUGAAUCAUCGAAUCUUUGAACGCACAUUGCGCCCCUUGGUAUUCCAAAGGGCAUGCCUGUUCGAGCGUCAUU